RNAcentral lists this ribosomal RNA (497 nucleotides) under uncultured bacterium. Its description in RNAcentral is "partial 16S ribosomal RNA". It matches the Rfam family "Bacterial small subunit ribosomal RNA", at positions 28 to 507 of the family's 1533-position model. The record is from RNAcentral.
GAUGAACGCUGGCGGCGUGCCUAAUACAUGCAAGUCGAGCGAACAGACGAGGAGCUUGCUCCUCUGACGUUAGCGGCGGACGGGUGAGUAACACGUGGAUAACCUACCUAUAAGACUGGGAUAACUUCGGGAAACCGGAGCUAAUACCGGAUAAUAUAUUGAACCGCAUGGUUCAAGAGUGAAAGACGGUUUUGCUGUCACUUAUAGAUGGAUCCGCGCCGCAUUAGCUAGUUGGUAAGGUAACGGCUUACCAAGGCAACGAUGCGUAGCCGAGCUGAGAGGGUGAUCGGCCACACUGGAACUGAGACACGGUCCAGACUCCUACGGGCGGCAGCGGUAGGGAAGCUUCCGCGAUGGGCGAAAGCCUGACGGAGCAACGCCGCGUGGGUGAUGAAGGUCUUCGGGUCGUAAAACUCUGUUAUUAGGGAAGAACGAAUGUGUACGUAACUAUGCACGUCUUGACGGUACCUAAUCAGAAAGCCACGGCUAACUACGUG